AGAGUUUGAUCCUGGCUCAGGAUGAACGCUGGCGGCGUGCUUAACACAUGCAAGUCGAACGAUCCUUCGGGAUAGUGGCGGACGGGUGAGUAACGCGUGGGAAUCUGCCCUCAGGAGGGGGAUAACGGCUGGAAACGGCCGCUAAUACCCCAUAUGCCGAGAGGUGAAAUGAAUUUCGCCUGAGGAUGAGCCCGCGUCUGAUUAGCUAGUUGGUGGGGUAAAGGCCUACCAAGGCAACGAUCAGUAGCUGGUCUGAGAGGAUGAUCAGCCACACUGGGACUGAGACACGGCCCAGACUCCUACGGGAGGCAGCAGUGGGGAAUUUUCCGCAAUGGGCGAAAGCCUGACGGAGCAACGCCGCGUGAGGGAUGAAGGCCUCUGGGCUGUAAACCUCUUUUCUCAAGGAAGAAGACCUGACGGUACUUGAGGAAUAAGCCACGGCUAAUUCCGUGCCAGCAGCCGCGGUAAUACGGGAGUGGCAAGCGUUAUCCGGAAUUAUUGGGCGUAAAGCGUCCGCAGGCGGCCUUGUAAGUCUGUUGUUAAAGCGUGGAGCUCAACUCCAUUUAAGCAAUGGAAACUACAAGGCUGGAGUGUGGUAGGGGCAGAGGGAAUUCCCGGUGUAGCGGUGAAAUGCGUAGAUAUCGGGAAGAACACCAGUGGCGAAGGCGCUCUGCUGGGCCAUAACUGACGCUCAUGGACGAAAGCCAGGGGAGCGAAAGGGAUUAGAUACCCCUGUAGUCCUGGCCGUAAACGAUGAACACUAGGUGUCGGGGGAAUCGACCCCCUCGGUGUCGUAGCCAACGCGUUAAGUGUUCCGCCUGGGGAGUACGCACGCAAGUGUGAAACUCAAAGGAAUUGACGGGGGCCCGCACAAGCGGUGGAGUAUGUGGUUUAAUUCGAUGCAACGCGAAGAACCUUACCAGGGUUUGACAUCCUGCGAACCCCUGAGAAAUCGGGGGGUGCCUUCGGGAGCGCAGAGACAGGUGGUGCAUGGCUGUCGUCAGCUCGUGUCGUGAGAUGUUGGGUUAAGUCCCGCAACGAGCGCAACCCACGUCUUUAGUUGCCAGCAUUCAGUUGGGCACUCUAGAGAGACCGCCGGUGAUAAACCGGAGGAAGGUGUGGAUGACGUCAAGUCAUCAUGCCCCUUACAUCCUGGGCUACACACGUACUACAAUGCUACGGACAAAGGGCAGCAAGCUCGCGAGAGUUAGCAAAUCCCAUAAACCGUGGCUCAGUUCAGAUCGUAGGCUGCAACUCGCCUACGUGAAGGAGGAAUCGCUAGUAAUCGCAGGUCAGCAUACUGCGGUGAAUACGUUCCCGGGCCUUGUACACACCGCCCGUCACACCAU
This 1349-nucleotide ribosomal RNA is filed under the name metagenome. RNAcentral's name for it is "bacterial SSU rRNA". It matches the Rfam family "Bacterial small subunit ribosomal RNA". The record is from RNAcentral.